Protopterus annectens (West African lungfish) is the source of this 649-nucleotide long non-coding RNA. RefSeq lists it as uncharacterized. The record is from RefSeq and is a predicted model, not a curated record. The transcript has 3 exons. NCBI's taxonomy places the organism in Eukaryota, Metazoa, Chordata, Ceratodontiformes, Protopteridae.
UGAUUUUUUCUAUCCGCUUGAGCUACCACUACCUCAAGCAGAUGGGACCACUGUUUAACAUCUCACUUGAAGGAGGAUAUACUCAGGAGUGGAGCACCCCUUAUGCUGCACUGCAGUGUCAGCAAUCCAUCUACCUGGUAUGGGAACAGAACCCACUGCCUUCUGCACUAAAGAGAUCUUGCAUACACCAGGACCUCUGAACUCACCUUAUGCCAAUUUGAUGGAACAGCUUCUUGAAACAAGAAAUACUUAUUUUCUGGGAUGGAAAGGGGAAACCAGUGAAUUCAAAAUGUCCUACUAAUUCGGCAUUAAUGAUGGCCACAUGAGGAUUCCAGAAAAUAUCCCACUCUUGGAUGUUCUACUUUAAAAAGAUAUAUAAUUCUAAAUUGUUAUCAACUUGAUGUAAUAACUCUGAUAAUUGCAAAUCAAUCUGCUGGUAACAUAACUCCACUUCACUAUUGAUGAUGUCUGUAUAACUAUCUUUUCUUCAUAUUAAUUUAUCAGACAAUGAAUAUGUUGGCUCUUUUGCUAUAGUCUUUAUUAUGUCGUAUUGUUUAUCAUGCAAGGUGAUAUUUUUAUCAAAACAGGAAUAGUGUGAAUUACUUAUGCUUAUUAAGGUGCAUUAAUUGGUGUCCUUUACCAAAUUAAA